GAUGAACGCUGGCGGCGUGCCUAAUACAUGCAAGUCGAGCGAACAGACGAGGAGCUUGCUCCUCUGACGUUAGCGGCGGACGGGGGAGUAACACGUGGAUAACCUACCUAUAAGACUGGGAUAACUUCGGGAAACCGGAGCUAAUACCGGAUAAUAUAUUGAACCGCAUGGUUCAAUAGUGAAAGACGGUUUUGCUGUCACUUAUAGAUGGAUCCGCGCCGCAUUAGCUAGUUGGUAAGGUAACGGCUUACCAAGGCAACGAUGCGUAUCCGACCUGAGAGGGUGAUCGGCCACACUGGAACUGAGAAACGGUCCAGAAUCCUAAGGGAGGCAGCAGUAGGGAAUCUUCCGCAAUGGGCGAAAGCCUGACGGAGCAACGCCGCGUGAGUGAUGAAGGUCUUCGGAUCGUAAAACUCUGUUAUUAGGGAAGAACAAAUGUGUAAGUAACUAUGCACGUAUUGACGGUACCUAAUCAGAAAGCCACGGCUAACUACGUG
This 497-nucleotide ribosomal RNA is filed under the name uncultured bacterium. RNAcentral describes it as "partial 16S ribosomal RNA". It matches the Rfam family "Bacterial small subunit ribosomal RNA", at positions 28 to 507 of the family's 1533-position model. The record is from RNAcentral.